This is a long non-coding RNA of Cucumis sativus (cucumber), 622 nucleotides long. RefSeq lists it as uncharacterized. The transcript has 2 exons. NCBI's taxonomy places the organism in Eukaryota, Viridiplantae, Streptophyta, Magnoliopsida, Cucurbitales, Cucurbitaceae. The record is from RefSeq and is a predicted model, not a curated record.
UAACAUCCCCAAUCUGGAGGCUGUAAACAAGAAAUCGGUGCUUGCGGCCAUGUGAUGUAUGUCAACUCCAGUUGAAAAGGAUCCUACUGUUGUCUUGUUUGCCAGCGAAAACGUCUUUUGCAGUGGGAAAAAAGAUUUAGGAUGACUUGGGCGUACCAUUAUGCUGUCACCAGAACAACCGCAGUAGAGUUUAUCUUCUGAUAGUGCCAGGCAUUUGACGUAUUUGUUGAAAUUUAUAUGCUUGGGAACCCCAAAGAAGUUGAACACCUGUAAUAUCCAGUCCAUUACAUAUAUGCCAGAUUAUUGAUUUCAAUGGAUUUUGAUUUUUCAAAUCUUGUAGCUUAAACCACGGUUACCUUAACACCAUUUCCUGGAGAAACAAAGCAUGCGAGUUUGCCAUUUACUUUCAAGUCAUAAACUGGCUCCUUCACUUCGUGGACUUGAACGCACUGUAUUUCUUCAGAUUUGAUGCUCCAUACCUGUAAAUGUUGUAGUUUCCGAGAAUCAAUGGUAGAAGUUUGAUCAGAAUAAGAUUUGCUUUCAGAUGUAGUGAUAAAAGUAAGGCCAAUUUGCUAUCAUCCUCUUAUAGAAUAAAUGUGGAGUAGAACCAGAUUCAUAAUCA